RNAcentral lists this small nuclear RNA (186 nucleotides) under Myripristis murdjan (pinecone soldierfish). RNAcentral's name for it is "U1 spliceosomal RNA (ENSMMDG00005005782.1)". It matches the Rfam family "U1 spliceosomal RNA". From Rfam's summary of the family: U1 is a small nuclear RNA (snRNA) component of the spliceosome (involved in pre-mRNA splicing). Its 5' end forms complementary base pairs with the 5' splice junction, thus defining the 5' donor site of an intron. There are significant differences in sequence and secondary structure between metazoan and yeast U1 snRNAs, the latter being much longer (568 nucleotides as compared to 164 nucleotides in human). Lineage: Eukaryota; Metazoa; Chordata; Actinopteri; Holocentriformes; Holocentridae. The record is from Rfam by way of RNAcentral.
AGAGUUACAGAGUUUUGGUGUCAGUGUGGAAGAUGAUCUCACUGCUAGGUUUGCUCUACAUAUACACCCAGGGUGAAAUUCAGCUACUGCACUCCGGCUGUGCUGACCCCUGCAAAUUCCCCAAAUGUGGAAACCUUGACUGCAUAAUUUCCAGUUGUGGGGGGGCUGUGUCUGCGCUCUCCCCUG